This 495-nucleotide ribosomal RNA is filed under the name uncultured bacterium. Its description in RNAcentral is "partial 16S ribosomal RNA". It matches the Rfam family "Bacterial small subunit ribosomal RNA", at positions 28 to 507 of the family's 1533-position model. The record is from RNAcentral.
GACGAACGCUGGCGGCGUGCCUAAUACAUGCAAGUAGAACGCUGAAGGAGGAGCUUGCUCUUCUGGAUGAGUUGCGAACGGGUGAGUAACGCGUAGGUAACCUGCCUGGUAGCGGGGGAUAACUAUUGGAAACGAUAGCUAAUACCGCAUAAGAGUAGAUGUUGCAUGACAUUUACUUAAAAGGUGCAAUUGCAUCACUACCAGAUGGACCUGCGUUGUAUUAGCUAGUUGGUGGGGUAACGGCUUACCAAGGCGACGAUACAUAGCCGACCUGAGAGGGUGAUCGGCCACACUGGGACUGAGACACGGCCCAGACGCCUACGGGAGGCAGCAGUAGGGAAUCGUCGGCAAUGGACGGAAGUCUGACCGAGCAACGCCGCGUGAGUGAAGAAGGUUUUCGGAUCGUAAAGCUCUGUUGUAAGAGAAGAACGAGUGUGAGAGUGGAAAGUUCACACUGUGACGGUAUCUUACCAGAAAGGGACGGCUAACUACGUG